RNAcentral lists this ribosomal RNA (460 nucleotides) under uncultured bacterium. Its description in RNAcentral is "partial 16S ribosomal RNA". It matches the Rfam family "Bacterial small subunit ribosomal RNA", at positions 338 to 795 of the family's 1533-position model. The record is from RNAcentral.
CCUACGGGAGGCAGCAGUGAGGAAUAUUGGUCAAUGGACGGAAGUCUGAACCAGCCAUGCCGCGUGCAGGAAGACGGCUCUAUGAGUUGUAAACUGCUUUUGUACAAGGGUAAACCUGAAUACGUGUAUUCAGCUGAAAGUACUGUACGAUUACGGAUCGCUAAACUCUGGGUCAUCACCCGCGGUAAUACGGAGGAUCAAACGGUUUUCCGGAUUUAUUGGGUUUAAAGGGUGCGUAGGCGGAUUGAUAAGUUAGAGGUGAAAUGUCCGAGCUUAACUCGGGAACUGCCUCUAAUACUGUUGAUCUAGAGAGUAGAUGCGGUAGGCGGAAUGUAUGGUGUAGCGGUGAAAUGCGUAGAGAUCAUACAGAACACCGAUUGCGAAGGCAGCUUACCAAUCUAUAUCUGACGUUGAGGCACGAAAGCGUGGGGAGCAAACAGGAUUAGAUACCCGUGUAGUC